Molecule: ribosomal RNA, 498 nt
Filed under: Bacillus pumilus
Lineage: Bacteria; Bacillati; Bacillota; Bacilli; Caryophanales; Bacillaceae
Description: bacterial SSU rRNA
Rfam family: Bacterial small subunit ribosomal RNA
Source: RNAcentral
CGCUGGCGGCGUGCCUAUACAUGCAGUCGAGCGGACAGAGGGGAGCUUGCUCCCGGAUGUUAGCGGCGGACGGGUGAGUAACACGUGGGUAACCUGCCUGUAAGACUGGGAUAACUCCGGGAAACCGGAGCUAAUACCGGAUAGUUCCUUGAACCGCAUGGUUCAAGGAUGAAAGACGGUUUCGGCUGUCACUUACAGAUGGACCCGCGGCGCAUUAGCUAGUUGGUGGGGUAAUGGCUCACCAAGGCGACGAUGCGUAGCCGACCUGAGAGGGUGAUCGGCCACACUGGGACUGAGACACGGCCCAGACUCCUACGGGAGGCAGCAGUAGGGAAUCUUCCGCAAUGGACGAAAGUCUGACGGAGCAACGCCGCGUGAGUGAUGAAGGUUUUCGGAUCGUAGAGCUCUGUUUGUUAGGGAAGAACAAGUGCGAGAGUAACUGCUCGCACCUUGACGGUACCUAACCAGAAAGCCACGGCUAACUACGUGCCAGCAGCC